This 186-nucleotide unclassified non-coding RNA is filed under the name uncultured fungus. RNAcentral describes it as "sequence contains ITS1, 5.8S rRNA gene". The record is from RNAcentral. Lineage: Eukaryota; Fungi.
CCAAGCCGUGAAGGUCGCCCUGAAAAGGGAAUGAUCUUUCACCUGGCCACCCUUGCUUACUUAACCUGUUGCUUUGGUGGGCCCGCCGCGAGGCCGCCGGGGAACCUAGUUCCCGGGCCUGUGCCCACCAAAGUCUUACCGAACUCUCUAACCGUAAGCUGUCUGAGCGUGAAAGCGCAACCAUUA